RNAcentral lists this ribosomal RNA (253 nucleotides) under uncultured bacterium. RNAcentral describes it as "partial 16S ribosomal RNA". It matches the Rfam family "Bacterial small subunit ribosomal RNA", at positions 524 to 776 of the family's 1533-position model. The record is from RNAcentral.
UACGUAGGGUGCGAGCGUUAAUCGGAAUUACUGGGCGUAAAGCGUGCGCAGGCGGUUCGUUGUGUCGGCGGUGAAAGCCCCGGGCUCAACCUGGGAAUGGCCGUUGAAACUGGCGAACUGGAGUGUGGCAGAGGGGGGUGGAAUUCCGCGUGUAGCAGUGAAAUGCGCAGAUAUCAGGAGGAACACCGGUGGCGAAGGCGGGUCUCUGGGCCGAUACUGACGCUGAGGAGCGAAAGCGUGGGGAGCGAACAGG